GAGUCUCGCGAGAAACGCGAUUGCGGCUCAACCUGGGAAAGAGGUUGAGGCGCGGAAGGGCCGAUGUUCGUCCGUGGGCUGUGCCGGGUUUCUGCCUGGCCCUCGCGCGGAGGGCUAGGUUUCCUUUGUGCGUCACCCUUUACCAGAGAAGCGGGCACUUCCUGUUAGUCUAGACCCGCUUUAAUUAGCAGUAGUAAAAGUCAGUUUGCAAGCAUUGGAAGAAGACUUUUGUAAAGGAACUUUACACAACAUGGAUUCUCUUCCAGAAGAAUUUUUUGUGAGGGAUCCUGCUGUGGAGGAGCAGAUUGAAGAGGAAACUGAGAAUAAAGCAGAAAAAUCAACCAUUCAACUGGACAAACAGAAGAAGGACAUACCUACUGAUCUUGUCCCUGUUAACCUACUAUUAGAGGUGAAGAAAUUAUUAAAUGCAAUCAAUACUCUACCAAAAGGAGUGGUUCCUCACAUUAAAAAGUUCUUACAAGAAGAUUUUUCCUUCCAGACUAUGCAGAGAGAAGUUGCAGCCAGUAGCCAAAAUGAGGAAGAAAUCGUUCCUGCUUUAACUUUACGUUUUUUGAUAACACAACUGGAAACAGCUCUUAGAAACAUUCAAGCUACUAAUUAUACUGCACACCAAAUUGAUAUUGGUUAUUAUUUGACAUUACUGUUUUUGUAUGGAGUAGCACUCACAGAAAGAGGGAAGAAAGAAGAUUAUACAGAAGCAGAGAAUAAAUUUCUGGUGAUGAAGAUGGUGAUCCAAGAAAAUGAAAUUUGUGAAAACUUUAUGUCUUUAGUCUAUUUUGGACGUGGCUUACUUCGAUGUGCUCAAAAGAAAUAUAAUGGAGGGCUGCUAGAAUUUCAUAAAAGUUUACAAGAAAUAGGAGAUAUAAAUGAUCAUUGGUUUGACAUAGAUCCUACAGAAGAUGAAGACUUACCAACAACUUUUAAAGAUCUCCUCAAUAAUUUUAUCAAGACAACUGAAAGUAAUAUAAUGAAACAGACCAUUUGUAGUUACCUAGAUUGUGAGCGAUCUUGUGAAGCGGAUAUUUUAAAGAACACAAAUUAUAAGGGUUUUUUUCAGUUAAUGUGCAGUAAAAGUUGCUGUGUUUAUUUCCACAAAAUUUGUUGGAAAAAAUUCAAGAAUUUAAAAUAUCCAGGUGAAAAUGAUCAGAGUUUUAGUGGCAAAAAGUGUUUGAAGGAAGAAUGCACAGGUGACAUGGUAAGGAUGCUACAAUGCGAUAUACCUGGAAUUGUUAAAAUUUUGUUUGAAGUUGUGAGAAAGGAUGAAUAUGUAGCCAUUGAAAAUUUAGGAGCAAGUUAUAAGAAGUUGAUGUCUCUGAAAACAGCUGAUACUGAUAUAAGACCGAAGAUCAGUUUAAAAUUUAAUACAAAAGAUGAAAUGCCUAUCUUCAAACUUGAUUAUAAUUAUUUCUAUCAUCUGCUUCAUAUAAUUAUUAUUUCUGGUACUGAUAUUGUCCGGCAAAUAUUUGAUGAGGCUAUGCCACCCCCUCUUUUGAAAAAAGAACUACUCAUCCACAAGAAUGUACUGGAAUCCUACUACAACCACCUUUGGACCGAUCACCCUUUGGGUGGAUCAUGGCAUCUGCUUUAUCCCCCAAACAAGGAAUUACCACAGUCCAAACAGUUUGACUUAUGCCUCCUAUUAGCUCUCAUAAAACAUUUGAAUGUAUUCCCUGCACCCAAAAAAGGCUGGAAUAUGGAACCACCAUCUUCUGACCUCUCUAAGUCUGCAGACAUUCUGAGACUGUGCAAAUACAGGGAUAUCCUCCUUAGUGAGAUUUUGAUGAAUGGUCUCACAGAGUUACAAUUCAAUUCAAUUUGGAAAAAAGUUUCAGAUAUUCUUCUGCGUCUUGGGAUGAAGCAAGAAGAUAUUGACAAAGUGAAGGAGAAUCCCAUUGAGAAUAUUUCCCUUGAUUACCAUCAGCUAUCCAUCUACCUAGGCAUACCAGUACCAGAAAUCAUCCAAAGAAUGCUAUCCUGCUAUCAACAAGGAAUUGCUCUACAGUCAAUAACAGGCAGUCAACGUAUUGAACUAGAAGAGUUACAGAAUGAGGAAGAAGACCUAAGUCCACCACUUAUGGAAUACAAUAUAAAUGUGAAAUCAAACUCUGAAAUACAGUUAGCAGAAAUGAAUAAAGAUGGAGCCUCUAUACCCAGUGAAUCUUCAACAGAAUCUAUUAAAGAUCUCCAAGAAGCAAAAAGUAAGCCGAAGAAAAAGAAAAAAAUGAAGACUAAAAAGAGUAAGGACUCAAAAGAAGAAAAAGUUUCCUAUAUCAGAGAAAAGGAAGAGCAGUUGAAGAAAGAACAAACAAAUCCACACACAGUGGGUAGAUUUAUGAAGGAUGAUGCAAGUGAUAUUCAGGAAGAUUCUGCAACUGAAGACAAGUUCUACAGCCUUGAUGAACUGCAUAUUCUGGACAUGAUAGAACAGGGCUCAGCCGGUAAGGUAGCAGCAGACUAUCAAGAAACUGAAAAGGAAAGGCUUGCUCAUCAACAGCAGCUUUAUAAACUUCACUAUCAGUGUGAGAAUUUCAAAAAGCAGUUGAAAACUGCGACAUUUCGGUGGCAAGAAAAUCAAAUGCAAAUUAAAAAGAAAGAAAAAGUAAUAGCAUCUCUUAACCAGCAAGUGGCUUUUGGAAUCAAUAAAGUUUCCAAAUUACAGCGUCAAGUCCAUGCUAAAGAUAAUGAAAUUAAGAACCUUAAAGAACAGCUUUCCAUGAAAAGAUCUCAGUGGGAAAUGGAGAAGCAUAAUCUGGAAAGCACAGUUAAAACCUACUUGAACAAACUGAAUGCAGAAACCAGCAGAGCUAUAACAGCUGAGGUGUAUUUCUUACAGUGUCGUAGAGAUUUUGGAUUGCUUCAUCUAGAACAAACUGAAAAAGAAUGUCUCAGUCAGCUUGCUAGGGUGACUCACAUGGCAGCAAGCAACCUGGAGUCACUUCAGUUAAAGGCUGCAGUAGAUAGUUGGAAUGCUAUUGUGGCAGAUGUUAGAAACAAGAUUGCAUUCCUCAGGACACAGUACAAUGAACAAAUCAACAAGGUGAAGCAAGGAUUUCCCUUGAGUAGCUUGCCUCCAGUCCAGCUUCCUCCACCACCGCCCAGUCCUGAGAUAUUGAUGCAGCAGUAUUUGGGAAGACCAAUUGUGAAAGACUCAUUCUUUAGACCCAUACUUACUGUUCCUCAAAUGCCUGCAAUUUGCCCUGCAGUCAUCUCUACAACAGGCCAACCUAGACCUCCCCUGAUGACUGGCAUAGCCUGGACUUUGCCAACACCUGUGGGAGAGACCGUGCCUCUUAGUACAGGUCUGGGAACUGAUCUUUCCAUGAUGAAUUGGGAGAGGAUUACAGACAAGCUAAAAACUGCUUUUCCACAACAGACCAGAAAGGAGCUCACAGAUUUCUUACGAAAAUUGAAGGAAGCUCAUGGGAAGUCUUUAUCUGGACUGACAUGUGAUGAAAUUAUUUACAAGAUUUCGCAAUUUAUUGAGCCCAAGAAAUCUCAGAGUCAAGAAAAAUCAGUGCCAAAUGAUAAUUGUGUUUCACCUAGCCAUUCUUCAUCACAGCCCAGUGCUCCUGAGUCCCCCAAAUCAACCUGGAGGCCUCUCAGUUCUCAAGGUUCUGCCACGUGGGAAGGAGCCAAUAUCGUGGAUGAAGAGGAAGAAGAAGAGCCUUGUGUGAUCUGUCAUGAGAAUUUGUCUCCAGAAAACCUCUCAGUUUUGCCUUGUGCUCACAAAUUCCACUCACAGAUGACAGUUUGAGUUUAUGUGUCAUCCAGGUGUUUUAAAUUCAGAGCACCGUAAACGUUUUCUGCAAGUGCAUUAGGCCAUGGUUGAUGCAACAAGGGACAUGCCCAACCUGUAGACUCCAUGUUUUGCUACCAGAAGAACUCCCUGAUCACACCAGCCAACAGUUGCCCAAGGACUGACUCAAAGUGAACAGCUCUGCGAAGCAAGUGUAGUUGUCAGAUCCCAGCAUGUAUUUUUGCCUCUUCUUAUGAGCUGGUUGUGUGAGGAGUGUAAAGCAGUAUGCUCUUCAGUAUUGUGGUAAAGAAGCUAAUUGUAUCAAGUGGCAGCCAAAUAGGUCAAGACAGAAGACAGGUCUAAGGGACUUGUAUGAGUUAAACUGAAGGGGCUUAAGAAGAUACAAUUUUAAUAAUUACAGUGUAUUUGCUCUUAGUGAGCUUUUUUCCUCUGUAGAUUUCUUUUUUUUCCCCUGUUUUUCUUCCUUAUUCUACUCACCUUUUCAUUUCUCUCGGUAUAGUGCAUUUUAAUUUUUUGAAAUAAAUUUAGGAGAAAAUCUGAAAGUGUAGAGAAGUAGAAAAAAUCCACAUAUUUUAAUGUUCCUUUCAACUUUUAAAAUUAGUCAUUAAAAUAUAGUUGAAUUACUUAAAUUGUAUUUCAUCUUCUGUAUUUUCUGUCCUCUAAAAUACAUGCUCAUACAUAAAUUAAUGAAUUACUUGAUGAUGGAGACCACUUAGCAGUGUGUCAGAGCUGGCUUGUAAUAACGGCUCAGGAAGAAUGAUUGGUUAAGGAAGUUUGCAAGCCACUUAUCAAAUUAUUGGUGACUUGAAAUCUGGUAUAGGCGAAGUAUUUAUACCAUAUAAAUUAGGAAAAGGAAUAAGACUUGUCUUUCCCUCAAAAGUUGGUUCUUAAAUGUCUUUUAUCAUAGUACAAGACAUUUAUGUUCCCAACAUCUUACAUAGUAGGUGCAGAAUACACACUCCCAGAAUCAGAAGUCAGGAGGUAAUAGAAAUGAGAGACGCUCUAUAUACAAGUUAUUUGCUGAGGUAAAUAGUUAAAAUUGUAUGUUUAUUUAUAAACAUGUUCUUUGAGCCUUAAUCAAUUUGCAUUUUGAAGAGAUUUUUUUUCUGCUUUAAAAGUUUCUAAUUUUACUUUCAUUUUCUUGCAAAGGAAAAAUUGUAUGUAGUUUCUUCUUGUGACAAAGUUUAUACACAUUACAAUUGUGUAUGUAAGCUUGUCACUGAGAACUUUAAUUUUUAGAGGUCAAAAAUUAUUUUGGAAAUGGUAUUGUGUAAGUGCUCUAAGGGUUGUAUUAAAGUAAUUCAGUUACCUAGUGAAAUAAUUUUUUUCUGACACAGAAAAUGUUUUAUUACGUAUUUCAGGGUAAUUGUAUUUUGAAGUUACUUUAAGUCUCUAUUUUAAAACUUUUAUUUCUGUAGUUAUUUACUAAAGAUUUUUUUUCUAAAAUGAUAAUAAGCUGGAUAAUAUGACAGAAAAUAUCCAAAAAAUGUUAAUCACCUAGUAUGUAAAAUGCCAAGAAUAUAUCUAAAUUCCAGACCUAAUAACUUACAGGGUCUUCAGUAUGGUUACUGUGUCUGGCACAUGAAGGUCGUGAUCAUGUAGGAGGUUACUUUGUAAAACUUAGUUCUUGUUUACAACUCAUUUCUUAGUUCAUCUUUUUAACAUGAGAAUUUCAUUCUCAUGUGGAAAGAAUAAAUAUCUCUUAAUUUAGUGAAUAUUUUAUCUGUGUAUUUCAUCUUAGAUAAACCAGAAACUACUUUAAAUCUGUACUUCAAAUGUGUAUUUCUGUUUAAUUGUGCUUAAAUUUUUUUCUUCUGUUCUGAGAAAAGAAAGAGCAAUUUGAAAGAGUACCAAGACGAAGUGAGUCAUGUAGCCAUAUUAAAUACUAAGGAUGUCUUGGAAUCAUAGAAUGCCAAAGCUCGUCUGACCCCUUCAUGAUCUUCUAAUGUGUCCUCUCAUUUUACAAAUAUGUCGUGGCCUAAGUCAUGUGGCUAGUUGGUGGCUAUACCAAGUCAUAUGUGUCUUUGCAAGUUUCUGUAAAGUGCUGAUCUGCCAGGCUUAGCUCCAAGGAAGAGGCUAGACUUAACACAAUAGUUAGUGGUUAGUGAGAACAUAAUAGGACAGUAUUCUUAUCUAGUUCUGCAGGAGCAGAAGAUAACGGGAUUCCAAUUAAGCAUAUGGUAAACCCGGUGUUUGUUUUGUAUUAAGUAGGUGGUAAUGAGUAUAUACAAAUGCAUAAUAAUGGUAGGACACAAGGAAGAAGUUUGAUUGACUUUUCCUUUCUAUGAUUUGCUUGAAAUGAUUCAAAUUAGUGUCUGUUGUCUUGAUGUAAUUAUGCAAAGUACCUUUCACUCUAGAGUAUCCCUGUUUGGAUGAUGCAUUUUAUCUUCUGGUUAGUUCAGGAAAAGUGCUGUUUUUCUUUUCUUUUCUUUCUUUCUUUCUUUCUUUCUUUCUUUCUUUCUUUCUUUCUUUCUUCUUCUUCUUCUUCUUCUUCUUCUUCUUCUUCUUCUUCUUCUUCUUCUUCCUCUUCCUCUUCCUCUUCUUUCUUCUUUCUUCUUUCUUCUUUUUUUUUAACCAGAUUGAAAUUUAACAAUGCUCUUAAACACAAUAACUAUAUGCCUCUCAGAUAAAAUGGUUUUUAGCAAGAUUAAAAGUGACAAAUACUAAUUAGUCAUGAAGAUACGUGUUUUCUGAUUGUCUUGAGUAGGAAACUUUCAGUACCUGGAGGUGUAGAUUAGAAGUUGUUUCUCAGUAGAGCUCACAGGCUUCUUUCUUAAGUAUAAGAUCCUGGACCACUUUCAUGGUUACAUGAUGCGUUUAUAAAAAUGUGUGUUCCAGGAGGCCUUAUGGAAAGUUGCCUUUGGAGCCAGUGCCAUAGGUAUUCCGAUGAACAUUAAAUUUUAGAAACCACUAGUUAAAAUGGCUUUCUCAGAUAGAUCUAGUUUUGAAUUUUUGAAUUCCAUAUCUAGCAUAUUGUGUGAUCAUAAACAAAUUAGUUUCACUUUUCUUGGCCUGUCCCCUUUCUGGAAAGUAGAGAAAAAAUGGUUUGCCUGAUGGUUACUGGAAUAAACAUUUAUUAUUCUUUCCCAGAGUAGCAAAUGAGGGUAAGUCAGCAUCGAUACAGCACACUUCUUUCCCAAAGCACAGUGAUAGAGCACUUGCCACCAGUAUAAGGUUUGGGUUCAAACCCCAGCCCUCAGUCUUCCCCUCUCCCCUUCAAAAAAUAAAAAUAAAUUUCAAACUUCUCAUUCAUCA
Cavia porcellus (domestic guinea pig) is the source of this 7033-nucleotide RNA transcript. It is a transcript of the gene named DAZ interacting zinc finger protein 3, with no coding region annotated. The transcript has 33 exons. NCBI's taxonomy places the organism in Eukaryota, Metazoa, Chordata, Mammalia, Rodentia, Caviidae. The record is from RefSeq and is a predicted model, not a curated record.